RNAcentral lists this ribosomal RNA (814 nucleotides) under uncultured organism. Its description in RNAcentral is "bacterial SSU rRNA". It matches the Rfam family "Bacterial small subunit ribosomal RNA", at positions 509 to 1337 of the family's 1533-position model. The record is from RNAcentral.
CAGCAGCCGCGGUAAGACGUAGGACGCAAGCGUUAUCCGGAUUUACUGGGCGUAAAGCGUCUGUAGGCGGUUGGGUAAGUUGGGCGUGAAAGCUCCGUGCUCAACGCGGAGAGGUCGUUCAAUACUGCCGAACUAGAGGACAUCAGAGGAGCAUGGAAUUUCCGGUGUAGCGGUAAAAUGCGCAGAUAUCGGAAGGAACACCAGUGGCGAAGGCGGUGCUCUGGGGUGUGCCUGACGCUGAGAGACGAAAGCUAGGGGAGCGAACAGGAUUAGAGACCCUGGUAGUCCUAGCCCUAAACGAUGGAUGCUAGAUGUGGGGCCGAGAAGGCUCCGUGUCGCAGUUAACGCGGUAAGCAUCCCGCCUGGGGAUUACGGCCGCAAGGCUAAAACUCAAACGAAUUGACGGGGCCCCGCACAAGCAGCGGAGCGUGUGGUUUAAUUCGAUGCUACACGAAGAACCUUACCUGGGUUUGACAUGUAAGUGGUAGUGAAGCGAAAGCGGAGCGACCCUUCGGGGAGCUUACACAGGUGCUGCAUGGCUGUCGUCAGCUCGUGCCGUGAGGUGUCGGGUUAAGUCCCGUAACGAGCGCAACCCUUGCCCUUAGUUACAAGUGUCUAAGGGGACUGCCGGCGGUAAGCCGGAGGAAGGUGGGGAUGACGUCAAGUCAGCAUGGCCCUUAUAUCCAGGGCUACACACACGCUACAAUGGUCAGUACAAAGGGCAGCGAAGCCGCGAGGUGAAGCGAAUCCCACCAAAGCUGAUCUAAGUUCGGAUUGCAGGCUGCAACUCGCCUGCAUGAAGCUGGAGUUGCUA